AUGUUCUCUGUAGCUCUGCUGGUGCUGCUGGCUGCUGGAUCCUAUGUGAGCAGUGAAACACUGACUCAGCCAGCCGCUGUGACUGUAACGCCAGGUCAACGUCUGACCAUCAGGUGUCAAGUUACUUAUUCUCUGAGCAGCUACUGGACACACUGGAUCAGACAGGCUGCUGGGAAAGGACUGGAAUGGAUUGGAAUGAAAUAUACUGGAGACUCAUACUAUAAGGAUUCAUUGAAGAAUAAGUUCAGUAUUGACUUAGAGACUUCCAGUAGCACAGUGACUCUGAAUGGACAGAAUAUGCAGCCUGAAGACUCUGCUGUGUAUUACUGUGCAAGAGAGUCACAGUGA
Non-coding RNA from Cyprinodon variegatus (sheepshead minnow), 348 nucleotides. The record is from the annotation of a RefSeq genome assembly. NCBI's taxonomy places the organism in Eukaryota, Metazoa, Chordata, Actinopteri, Cyprinodontiformes, Cyprinodontidae.